UACAGAGGUCUCAAGCGUUGUUCGGAUUCAUUGGGCGUAAAGCGCGCGUAGGCGGCUCGGAAAGUCGGUCGUGAAAUGCCGGGGCUCAACCCCGGGACUGCGUCCGAUACUUCCGAGCUGGAGGCAGGUAGGGGAGAUCGGAAUUCCUGGUGUAGCGGUGGAAUGCGCAGAUAUCAGGAGGAACACCGGUGGCGAAGGCGGGAUCUCUGG
Molecule: ribosomal RNA, 210 nt
Filed under: uncultured bacterium
Lineage: Bacteria
Description: partial 16S ribosomal RNA
Rfam family: Bacterial small subunit ribosomal RNA
Source: RNAcentral